UCUCUUUUUUUUUUUUUUUUUUUUUCCCCUCUUCCCCCCUCCGCGUGCAGCCCGGUGUUGCUGAAUGGAAAAGCCGUGAGUCAGGCGUGUGUCAUCGCACAUAGCGGGAUAUAAGGGAGCUGUGGGGAGCUGUGGGGCCGCGUGGGGAGGGCGAGGGUGAGUGUGAGUGAGUGUGCAAGGCCAGGUGUGCGGAGCCGGGAGCGGGGGGGAAAAAGGGGGUUGGGGGGCGGUGGUGCGUGCUGUGUUGGUGUGUUGUGGAGGGGGUGUGAGCGGCGGGGGGGAGUGCGAGGAGGGUGGGAGGGUGUGAGGAGUUGUGUCAGUGUGUCAGUGUGUAUCUAGUUGUGUCAGUGUGCCUGUGUGUCGUGUAGUUGUGUCAGUGUGUCAGUGUGUCAGUGUGUGUGACUGCCUAGUUGUGUCAGUGUGUGUCACUGUCUAGUUGUGUCACUGUGUCAGUGUGUCACUGUGUCACUGUGUCACUGUGUGUGUAGUUGUGUCACUGUGUCACUGUGUCAGUGUGUCACAGUGUUGUGGUGUGAUUGUGUCGCGGUGUGGUUGUGUCGCGGUGUGGUUGUGUUGUGUCGUUGUGUCCCUGUUGUGUCGCUGUGCGGUUGUGUCAUUGUGUGGUUGUGUUGUGUCGUUGUGUGGUUGUGUCGUUGUGUGGUUGUGUUGUUGCGUCGCCGUGGUUGUGGCCGUGGCGGCGCUGCGGCUGUGGGGUCAGAGCGCCGUCAGCCCCACAAGUGUGGAGGAGCCGCAGAGCAUGGCAGUCGCACUGUGGCAGACGCUGCUGGCCCUGCUGGGUCUGUACCCCGGGCUUUGCCCCUCCCUUCCGGCCGCCCCCCGCCCGCGCCCCCCGGACCCCCGCGCCGACCUGGACAGCGUGGUCAGCCUGGCCAAAGCCCUCC
RNAcentral lists this long non-coding RNA (902 nucleotides) under Phasianus colchicus (ring-necked pheasant). Its description in RNAcentral is "lncRNA (ENSPCLG00000016851.1)". Lineage: Eukaryota; Metazoa; Chordata; Aves; Galliformes; Phasianidae. The record is from RNAcentral.